GGCUUAACACACACCCCCUCCACGCGCUUACGCUCGCGUCGAAGAACAAACAAAAACAAAGAUUAAAAAAAUGAACAAAGAAAAAACCGGCCUUUUUAGGAACCUUGCGUCCUCCGUGGAACAUUCACGCUCUCUUCCAGUCUCUUUCUCCCACCUAUAUAAACAGUGUGUUAUAUUAUAAAUCUCCUCUCACUCUCUUCAACCUCAAAUAUUACUCCAAUUCUCCCUCUCUCAUUGGAUCUAGGGUUCUGGGUUUUUUCAACUUAGUCAAUUGGUCAGCAAAUCAAGCGGCUGUGGUUGCUCCUCUGCUACAAAUCUCUUUUCCAACGCAAUGCCUCGCACAUCUAAGCGAAAAUCGGCCCCACCCAAUUCCUCAUCCGUCACAUCACCCGAGGGUCGUUCUGUCUCAAUUAAAGCUAAAACAAAAGGGAUGGAAAAAAUAGAUCGCUUAUUCAAUUCAUAUGCAAAUAAUUCAUUAGGCAUGAUUGAUCCAGAUGGUAUUGAAGCACUCUGUUCAGAUCUAGGAGUGGACUACACUGAUGUGAGGAUAUUGAUGCUUGCAUGGAAAUUAAAAGCUGAAAGGCAGGGCUAUUUUACCCAGGAUGAGUGGCGAACUGGCCUGAAAGCAUUGGGGGUUGAUUCACUUAGCAAACUAAAAAAGGCACUUCCUGAACUGGAGAAUGAGGUGGGGAAGUCAUCGAAUUAUGAAGAUUUUUAUUCCUAUGCAUUUAGAUACUGCCUGACAGAGGAGAAGCAAAAGAGUGUGGACAUUGAAAGCAUUUGUGAAUUGUUGAAUCUUGUUCUAGGGGCCCAAUUUCAUCCUCAGGUUGAUUUACUAAUUGAGUAUCUAAAGGUCCAGAGUGAUUACAAAGUAAUAAAUUUGGACCAGUGGAUGAAUUUUCUACGUUUUUGCAAAGAGCAGAUUAGUUUUCCAGAUCUUGAAAAUUAUGAUGCAUCCCAAGCUUGGCCCUUGAUUCUCGAUAAUUUUGUCGAAUGGAUGAGAGAAAAGCAUAGCUAGUGUUGGCAUCUUGUUUGUGUCUCACAGAUUGCUGAUCUCAUAAGGACCUUGUGGAAACCCUAAUUGGUAACAUGGAGAUGGCUCAUAAGUGAUUAAACUAAUUUUGCUGAACCUUUUCUCGGGCUAAAACUACAAUUUUGUUGUCCAGGGAUGGUUUAUACAUUCUGCAUUCAUUAAUGUUAAGGUUUCUUCUUUUUUUUUCCCCGCUUAAAGCUAUUUUAAGCGUUAACAAUUGUGUUACUCAACGAAGGAUAAUUCUAUAAAUAUAGCAUUAAAGUUUCAUUCUGGAUUGCGAUGCUAUUAUCUACUCGUCUUUAAAAGCAUAAGUAAGAGCUUCUGCUUUAGAUAACUCCAGUGGCAAAUGAUAGUCCCCAUCAAGAGAAUCACUGCAGCAAUUGUAACCAGAGCAAUCACCAAUACCUGCUGCUUCUCCGGCUGCCUGGUGCCUAUUACAUAAGCUGUAAACAUUGUUCAUUAGGUUAAUUACAGUGCAAUGUUUUGAAGAUUGGUACUGCACCGUGCUCAACUACCUGAAAGGCUUAAAGUCGAUUAGGGUAUCUCUGGGGAAAUUAGAAAAGUGACAGCUUACCACUUGAGAAAGCCCCAAAAGCCAGAAUAUACCAAAAAAGGGAAAAUUGAUGUUAGUUGACAGAUUAUUUCAAGUCUAUAUUUAAAAAUUCAGUCUUGUCAAGGAAUUGAAUAAACAAGAAAGAAAAAUGAAAUGAUAUGAUGUUCCCUUUCCUUUUCUUUGUUAGAAAUCAUGCUACAAGUAUAAAGAUAAAUACUAGCUGACAGGAUCAAGUGCCUCAAAAGCCAUAUUGUUUUUAUUUAGAAGUGAAAAAAGUACAUUUUUCACUAUUUGAACCCAAAUUAUUGGUUCUAAUUAUGGUGUUGUUCAACCACAGGUAUAACCAAAUUAAGCUGUCUUUUAUUGUCAUUGUUGGUUUGACCUCUUUUGGUUUAUCAAGUUGGACGAACAGAAGCAUCUAUAUUUUGCAGUGUGGAAAGACCAUAGUCCUUGGAGGAGAAAAGAGACUUGAACAAAGUUUAUUAAUGAAUUUUUUCUUGCUAAGGCUAAACUCUCACCGAGCAACCGUUUCUGAAAUUUUAGAAUCAUCAACUGAACAUAUUUCUAACUGCAAUUCAGAUCUCUUUUCCUCAUCGUCCUUUCUUUUUGUCGAGAAAGCAGGCCUCUUUGGAGCCGCCAUUAAUGUGCUUUCAUUUCUCAGCAUUGAAGAGACAUCUAACAUGCAGUAGGCCUGUCAUUUGCAUUUUCACGGACACAGCAGUGCUAUCUGCAUGCAUGACAUCUCAAUAACUUAUAGGAUGAAGUUGUGUCAUCCAGUGAGGUCCAUGAAUUCCAUGCCUUUUCCCUCUGUCCACAGCUCAAAUUCCUGAGUAACCCCCACAAUGAUUUCGACACGUUUUCUCCAAUCCAACAUAGACCUGUUAAGGGGGUCUGCAUAACAGGGUCUGCGUCUGAUCAGUAGAUUUUGAGCAGUCAGUUAAACAUAAACCCAAGUAAAUAACCAAAAAGAAAUCACAUAAAUUUCAAUGGAAAUCAUCACCAAACCCCCUUGCUGGUUUAACUUCUCAGGGUCCUGUUGACUUCAUAUCAUUUUGCUCAUGCUCCCUCAAGAAAUCUAUUCUUGAGAGAAAGUGUGAUGAAAGGAAAGAAAACAAGCAGAAAAUGGGCCCAUCAUGUUCCAACUUUUCGACUGUUUCACUAAUUUUCCGAUACAUCCAAUCUCUUUUCGAGCCAAAUAUUCAGAUCUAAGGUUGACCCAUGCUUUAUAUUUUAAGUGCAUUGCUUAGGUAUUGUUACAUGAAUCCAGUAGUUUUAUGUGGCAAAUGGCUUUGGUCCAACGAGGAAACCUCACCUCUUGCUUCUGGAUCUAGGGUGAGCUGAGAAUCCGACAAAUAAAGGUGAAAAAUACGAAAGAGACAGGUCAAAAGGGUAGUAGAGGGGAGGUUCUCCAUUUUAUUUUUUAUAGUAAAACAGUUGAUCCUUAAUCAGGCCAAAAUGGAGAAAUCAAUUAUAUUUGCAGAUAAAAAAAGGUAUUUUGCACAUGAAAGUGAUGAUCCAUUGCCUGGAUAUCUUCAAUCAUGAUCUUAAAUAAAGGGUAUAAUAAAUAGUAUUAGCAACUGAUCUGUGGCCUGUGGGACUCUUCUGCUUUUGUUAAACAACUUUUAAACAGUCGUCUUUUCAUAUAGCAACAUUUUUCAGAACUAAUCUUUAUGUCUUUAGUCAUCUUUAAGACUCGUCUUUUUUGUCUCUUUAUAUUUAUUUAUGCACCAACUCCCAAGCAUUUUAUGGUCUUUUUGACUCAGUCUCUUCCUUUGGACUGAAGCUUACUCCUCACUUGAUGCCAGCCUACCAUAGGUUUUACCUGCAGAGUAGAAGAACUCACCCCUAUAGAAAUCAAAUAUUUGAGGCUGAAAAUCGUUACAACUCUUAUUUUAGUUAGCGUAAUGUUGGCUUCUGCAUGGAACUGUGGCUCUCAUGAGCAAAUUUUCAAGGGUUUAAAAUCAUAGAAACAUUAUUAGUUAAUACUUGUGGCUUCUGGGUGAUCAAACCUGGCCAUUGAAACAAGAAAUUUUUGUUGCAGACAUAGGCAGCAAUUAGCUGUUCUGUCCACUUUGCGCCAAGCCUUUAUCUUUUGAGUGUUAAUUAUGGAAACAGGAACCAAUAUUAUUGCAUGUAAUGAAUGUUUUUUCAGAUUCAGUUUUUUUCAUUUAUUAGGUCUCUUCUAAACCUUUCAUUUCCAUUAGUUCUGCAUGAUAAUAGGAAGGUCCCCUCCACACUUCCCAGGACCACUGUCCCGUCAUCCAUUGUUUCUGAAGGCAAGUCUAUUAUUAUUGCUUCUCCAACUACCACCACUGUUUCACAAUUUACUUAAUAUUAAAAAAAAUCUGUAACUAA
Durio zibethinus is the source of this 3941-nucleotide non-coding RNA. The record is from RefSeq and is a predicted model, not a curated record. Lineage: Eukaryota; Viridiplantae; Streptophyta; Magnoliopsida; Malvales; Malvaceae.